CCUGAAGUUUCCUGCACCUGUAAUAAGAAAUCAGAGCUCCUUACAUUCAUCUCACAGAAAAACGUGGUCAACCCGGGAGCCUGAUGCAGGAUAGAUAUUCUGUUACUGCAGCACCAAUGGAUGAGGAUAGGGAAUGACUGAGCCAUAAGAUGAAAGGAUUCUGGGCUUUACAGAAAGCAUGGUGCUGGCAUCUGCUCAGCUUUUUGGGAGGCCUUAGGAAGCUUCCAAUCAUGGUGGAAGGCAAAGGGUGAGCAGGUGUCUCACAUGGUGAGAGCAGGAGCAAGCUUUGAAGAUGUGCCACACACUGCCAACCAACCAGAUCUUGCAAGUACCCACUCACUAUCUCAAGGACAGCCACAAGCCAAGAAGGACCCAUCUCCAUGAUCCAAACAUCUCCCACCGUGUCCUACCUCCAACACUGGAAACUACAAUUCAGCACAAGAUUUGGAGGAAACAACAUCCAAACUAUAUUACUCUGCCCCUGGCUCCUCAAAUCUCAUGUCCUUCUCACACUGCAAAAUACAAUCAUGCCUUCU
This 536-nucleotide long non-coding RNA is filed under the name Homo sapiens (human). RNAcentral describes it as "HSALNT0186235". The record is from RNAcentral. Lineage: Eukaryota; Metazoa; Chordata; Mammalia; Primates; Hominidae.